UACGGAGGGUGCGAGCGUUGUCCGGAAUCACUGGGCGUAAAGGGCGCGUAGGCGGCCCGUUAAGUGGCUGGUGAAAUCCCGCGGCUCAACUGCGGGGCUGCCGGUCAGACUGGCGAGCUAGAGCACGGUAGGGGCAGAUGGAAUUCCCGGUGUAGCGGUGGAAUGCGUAGAGAUCGGGAAGAAUACCAGUGGCGAAGGCGUUCUGCUGGGCCGUUGCUGACGCUGAGGCGCGACAGCGUGGGGAGCAAACAGGAUUAGAUACCCUGGUAGUCCACGCCGUAAACGAUGGACACUAGACGUCGGGGGGAGCGACCCUCCCGGUGUCGUCGCUAACGCAGUAAGUGUCCCGCCUGGGGAGUACGGCCGCAAGGCUGAA
This 376-nucleotide ribosomal RNA is filed under the name uncultured bacterium. RNAcentral's name for it is "bacterial SSU rRNA". It matches the Rfam family "Bacterial small subunit ribosomal RNA", at positions 524 to 898 of the family's 1533-position model. The record is from RNAcentral.